Molecule: ribosomal RNA, 264 nt
Filed under: uncultured bacterium
Lineage: Bacteria
Description: partial 16S ribosomal RNA
Rfam family: Bacterial small subunit ribosomal RNA
Source: RNAcentral
GCAAGUCGAACGGACUUAUGAUAGCUUGCUAUUAUAAGUUAGUGGCGCACGGGUGAGUAACGCGUGGGUAACCUGCCCUUGAAUCUGGGACAACAGUUCGAAAGGACUGCUAAUACCGGAUACCUUCCUUUAGUAGAGAUAUUAAGGGAAGAAAGACGGUCGAAUUAUGGCUGUCGUUCAUGGAGGGGCCCGCGUUCCAUUAGCUAGUUGGUGGAAUAAUGGCCUACCAAGGCGAUGAUGGAUAACCGGCUUGAGAGAGUGGUC